CACUAUCAGAAAUGGAAAUUUUUGAAGCAUAAGGAAAAGUUAACACAGGCAAAGCUAUGGAUGAAUUUGGGACCUCAGCAGAACAUCUCAAAACUGCUAGAAAUAUUCUUUUGUCAAUAGGCACCUCCUUCUUUACUUAAAUCGUAACUACAAAACAAAUGCCACUUUUCUUCAAAAUUGGAAUUACCAAACCAAUUUAUUCAAGCAGACGUGCAAUUUUGUUUAAAAGAAGGUCUCUCUAUGCUUAUAGCUGCCGUUUUCGUAUCAGAAUGUAAAGUAGAAUCCAUACACGUAACUUUAAAACCCUUAUAUAUGAUGGUGGUAGACAGCCAAACUGCAUUUGACGUAGUUCCGCACAUCAUUCUUCUAGAUAAACUGUAUGAAUAAGGCAUACAUCAAUAACUUUGACCCAUAGUCAAAGAUCUAAAAACAGACAUGUCCUCAAAAAUACAUAGUCAAAGAUCCAAAUACAGACAUGUCCUCAAAAAUAAAUUGGAAAGGUUAAAUUAAUGUCACAUUUCCAGUAAAACAGGGAGUUCGACAAACUUCUUUGUCAUUU
This 559-nucleotide long non-coding RNA is filed under the name Mytilus galloprovincialis (Mediterranean mussel). Lineage: Eukaryota; Metazoa; Mollusca; Bivalvia; Mytilida; Mytilidae. The record is from RNAcentral.